RNAcentral lists this ribosomal RNA (250 nucleotides) under uncultured bacterium. RNAcentral describes it as "partial 16S ribosomal RNA". It matches the Rfam family "Bacterial small subunit ribosomal RNA", at positions 524 to 773 of the family's 1533-position model. The record is from RNAcentral.
GACAGAGGGUGCAGACGUUGUUCGGAAUUACUGGGCGUAAAGCGUGUGUAGGCGGCCAUGUAAGUCGGAUGUGAAAGCCCCGGGCUCAACUCGGGAAGUGCACUCGAUACUGCGUGGCUUGAGUACUGGAGAGGUUGGUGGAAUUCUCGGUGUAGAGGUGAAAUUCGUAGAUAUCGAGAGGAACACCGGUGGCGAAGGCGGCCAACUGGACAGAUACUGACGCUGAGACACGAAAGCGUGGGGAGCAAAC